AGUGAACGCUGGCGGUAGGCCUAACACAUGCAAGUCGAACGGCAGCACAGUAAGAGCUUGCUCUUACGGGUGGCGAGUGGCGGACGGGUGAGGAAUACAUCGGAAUCUACUUUUUCGUGGGGGAUAACGUAGGGAAACUUACGCUAAUACCGCAUACGACCUACGGGUGAAAGCAGGGGAUCUUCGGACCUUGCGCGAUUGAAUGAGCCGAUGUCGGAUUAGCUAGUUGGCGGGGUAAAGGCCCACCAAGGCGACGAUCCGUAGCUGGUCUGAGAGGAUGAUCGGCCACACUGGAACUGAGACACGGUCCAGACUCCUACGGGAGGCAGCAGUGGGGAAUAUUGGACAAUGGGCGGAAGCCUGAUCCAGCCAUACCGCGUGGGUGAAGAAGGUCUUCGGGUUGUAAAGCCCUUUUGUUGGGAAAGAAAAGCAGCAGGUUAAUACCCCGCUGUUCUGACGGUACCCAAAGAAUAAGCACCGGCUAACUUCGUG
Molecule: ribosomal RNA, 492 nt
Filed under: uncultured bacterium
Lineage: Bacteria
Description: partial 16S ribosomal RNA
Rfam family: Bacterial small subunit ribosomal RNA
Source: RNAcentral